AAACUGUGUACAAGUAAAGAUACAUAACGCAGCACUGAACACUUCUGGUAGCUCCACAAGCAUAGCCAAUGCUCAGCUCCCCGAGAAGAUGCCAACAAACAAUUCCAAGAAUCAUCUUUGUGGAUGAUCUGCUGGACUCUCUCUAGAUCUCUAUCUUGAAUUGAUGUUCCCAGAAUGGGACACGGUAUUCCAGUAGCACAGGAUGCUGGGAUUCUGGGGAGGAGACUUCACACCAGCACCAGCAGAGUGAUGUAAGUUCCCCAUGCAGCAGAGGGAAGGGACAUGCACUGCUGGGGCCAGAUGGAAGGCAGGCUGUGGCAGACUGAAGACAUGGGCAGAGAAAGCCCAGCCACCAGAGGAGGAGAUGACAUAGGGCUUGUCAAGGCCCACCAGCCCGUGAUGGAAAUGGGUGGCCAAUUUAGCCUAGUGGUGAACGUACAGGAUGGAUCUACAUCCUAAGUAACAACGUUGUUUAAUUAAAAAAGAAAAUAAAAAAGUUAAUGAAGCAAGUCUUGUGCCAAUAAAUGGUAAAUUAUCACUGAAAAGGCUUGAUACACACUCAUCUAGCAUA
Molecule: long non-coding RNA, 571 nt
Organism: Gallus gallus (chicken)
Lineage: Eukaryota; Metazoa; Chordata; Aves; Galliformes; Phasianidae
Source: Ensembl